Oncorhynchus keta (chum salmon) is the source of this 151-nucleotide long non-coding RNA. RefSeq lists it as uncharacterized. The record is from RefSeq and is a predicted model, not a curated record. The transcript is spliced from 3 exons. NCBI's taxonomy places the organism in Eukaryota, Metazoa, Chordata, Actinopteri, Salmoniformes, Salmonidae.
AUGAUGAGCCCUUAUUUGACCAGGUAGAGGUAGAUUAACGGACAACACAGCUCUCAUGAUGAGCCCUUAUUUGACCAGGUAGAGGUAGAUUGAUGGACAACACAGCUCUCAUGAUGAGCCCUUAUUUGACCAGGUAGAGGUAGAUUGACAG